Molecule: ribosomal RNA, 463 nt
Filed under: Steinernema aciari
Lineage: Eukaryota; Metazoa; Nematoda; Chromadorea; Rhabditida; Steinernematidae
Description: partial 28S ribosomal RNA
Rfam family: Eukaryotic large subunit ribosomal RNA
Source: RNAcentral
GGAAAGUUGCAAAGUACUUUGAAGAGAGAGUUCAAGAGGACGUGAAACCGAUAGGAUGGAAGCAGAUGAAGUUGACGAACGAGUGUCGUAUUCAGGGUUGCAUCUUGUGUGCGGUCUGUUCUUGCGACCGAUGUGGGCUGGCGGCCUUGGUCAAUGCACUGUGUCAAGUUUCGAUGGAGACCCUGCGGAGGGAUAAUCGGUCGUUGCACGAUACGUGGUAUGGCUAAGGUUUCGCCGGUCUUGAAGUCAGCGCCUCAUCUGACCCGUCUUGAAACACGGACCAAGGAGUGUAGCGUUUACGCAAGUCUUAGAGUGUAUCAAAACUUUGAGGCGCAACGAAAGUAAAUGUAGUUUAAUCUACUGACUUGGGAUACGUUGUCUCUUGUGGACGGCGUUGGACCAUGGUUUUAUCGCGAUCGCUUGCGAUGCGGUGAAAAUAGAGCGUAAACGGUGCGACCCGAAA